GGGACCAUAGCUCAGAGGUACAGUAUCUUCCUUGCAAGCUGAAGGUCCAAAGUUCAAUCCCUGCUAUCUCCA
This is a non-coding RNA of Phrynosoma platyrhinos (Desert horned lizard), 72 nucleotides long. The record is from the annotation of a GenBank genome assembly. NCBI's taxonomy places the organism in Eukaryota, Metazoa, Chordata, Lepidosauria, Squamata, Phrynosomatidae.